AACCGCUUCAGAGAAACAGCCAGGCGGGAGCCAAGACUCCGGAAUCGUCCCUCAGGAUCCGCUCGAAGGAGCUCAGAACUGGAAACAUCUGGUGACAAUCGAAUCAGACCGCGAUUUUAGAAUAUGAUGAAGAGGAAAUGUUUGUUUAAGGGUCAGCCCACACCUGCGCGGCAGGUGUGAAGCUCGGGGAGCCGCGGCUUUGGAAGAACCGUCUCAUGGGCGCUCAGAUUGGAAUGUGAUGGCAUUGAGUGACUUCCAGAGUCCUGAUCUCAAGAGGCCCUGCAGUAUGCACCUUUGCCCUUUUGCUUCUCUGUCCUGAGACCAUGAUGGAAGGAAGUCAGUCUAACUUGCUGGAAGAUGAGAGGCCGCAUGGAGGAAAGCCAAGACCCCCAGCCCACUGCCAGCACCAACUGCCAGAUACGCCACUUCCCACCCUGCUUCUGAGCUCCUGAGAGGCUGUGGCCUAUUAGGAUCCUUCCACAGCAGCUCUGCCCAGGUCACCUCCAUCACCAGCCAGGCUGGCUGCUCUCUUCUCUG
Molecule: long non-coding RNA, 537 nt
Filed under: Heterocephalus glaber (naked mole-rat)
Lineage: Eukaryota; Metazoa; Chordata; Mammalia; Rodentia; Bathyergidae
Description: lncRNA (ENSHGLG00000045956.1)
Source: RNAcentral